AUUUUUCAUGUUUGUGUGCAAGCAUUUUAAUUUCUUAAAGUGUUAAAGGGUAGUUGUACUAAGCCCAAAAUAAAUCUAUAUCCAGAGUCUCCCUUUCAUUGUCCAUUCCAGUAGCCCACAUGAGUGAAAUGAAAUAAGCUGAGUUUUUAUUCAAGUAACAAGUUAACAGAUAACAUAGUUAGUUCCCAUAGAGCAGUCAGUUAGUUGGUUAGCAGUUAAUUAGAUGCUAGGCUAAUCUAUAGCAGACUGGUAGGGGCCAAAUAGCUGACAGGUCCCAUAGGGGCCAAGGUAAACUAGACUAGGAAUGAGUGUUUGCAGCUGGGUAGGGUGGCUGAGUAGAGGCUAAUAGGACUGCCAGAAUGAGGAGAUAGCCCAGCCAUUAAAGGCAGCCCCUUAAAAUUUCCGGCUGGAAAGGAAGGAAAUUAAACUACCUAAAUUUUAGAAGCUAGCAAGGUAAGCCAAUUUAACCUCUUUCCAUUCUUUUCCCGUUUCAUUGUUGAUAACAAAGUGGGCUGUUAGUGGCUAGAUAACUUGUUAUGGUUGUUAUAUUGAAUUAGUUUAUAUGAUGACUGUUUUAAUGCUGUGUUGGAACUGUUAUGUUGUUGUGCUGUUCUUGUGGUUGUUUUAAGCCAUAAGGCUGGGGUCAAUGAGCUAAGAAGAUAUGUACCAUAUGUGUAUAUAAAGACUGCACACUACAUGCUUGAUAAAUUGCUAAGAUGAAAACUGAUAUGAUUCUAUGUAUACUAACUGUGAUGUAGAGGCUAAGAGGUUGUCUAAUAACAUAUAUUGGAACAUUAAUGUAUCAAGCAUGCUUAAAGAGUUGCAUAUGCAUAUUGUGAUUAGUUGGUUAGUAUUCAAGGUUAUGAUGUGAUAAAACGAACAUGAGGUAACAAAAAAGGGGCUGCUAUAUGGUGUUGUUAUUGAUAUUAUGGUAUCUGUGUUGUUGUAAAUAUAGGUUUAUAUAAAGACAUUAAGGAUUUAAAGGCCAAAAGGCUGGUAAAGAGCAAAGACUUUAUUUGCUUAUCAAGUUUUAGACCUCUAUAAAGCCUUGGCUCUUCUCUUCUCUCUAAAAACUUUCCUAGGCCCCGAUCACUUCCCUCUUCCACCCCUGUUGUGCCAUCCAAGUCCACCCAAGCUCUUUCUUCCCAAUUUGAAAUUCCAUUCUAAGAUCAGCUACUCAAGAAAGUGUAGCCAAGAAUCAAACACUAAAACCAAGCAAGGAAGGUAAUCAAAUUAUCUUUAUUAUACUACUAUGAAGUUAGUUAGUUGUUGAAGCAAAAACAGUUAAUAACUCAUGUGGCUUAAUUAAUUUAACUGAUAGAUGGGCUAUGAUCAUAUGGAUUAUCAAUGGAAAUAGAUAUAUUGCAUAUUGAUAUGUUACAAAAGAAAACUUUGAAAAGUUAGUAAACUAGUUUAUGUAAUAGCUAUAUACAUGUACGGUUUUCUUUGUGUAUUGGUUAUUGUGGACUGAAGUUAGAGCCAAGGAGUAUAGGAUUGGUUGUGCGGAGGAAUAAGGUGGAACAAAUUGGGUUAGAACAUAAGCGAAUAGCUAUGAAAUCUGCGUUUAGAAAUAACGUGCACCACGUGUUCGUUAAAGUCCCCUAAGGACUGUUUUUGUUAAAAAUGAAGAAUUAAGCGAAGCCGAGGCUAAGGCUACGUAGGUAUACACUAUUUUAAUUAAUUAAAUAGAUUGGACAAGUUAAACUAAGUUUAAAAACUGUCUUGUGAUAGAUGAAACAAAUGAAGUUUGGGUGAAGAUUAGUAUGUCAGGCUGCUUUGGGUUAACUGUAUCGGCUAGUUAGACUUGCUGGAAAACUAUAAUUUUCUGGGGUCUUGUAGUGUGCAAUCCCAGCUAUUCGUAGCCUCCAGAACAGACUAAUUCCGACUUCGGAGGAGGGAGUUAUGGCAUUCUAAAGUGGCUGUGGCGAAUCUGUCCAAAAUCUGGAAAUCGGAUUCUGACCAGCCCCUUGCGUGGAUUUUCUGGAAUUAUGGGUGAAGAAUUUGGAAAAGGUUAUUGAAUAAGAGUUGUAGCCCCAGAAUUUAGCUUCACGUGGGCUCAAGAAUCGCUCAAAAAUGUUUUGAAACGAAAAAGUUAUGACUGUUUUAGCGAGAGAGGUUAAAGCUGGAAAAAAAGUUAAAAACUGUUAUGAUUGCGCAUUUUUAAGUUCUGUUUUGAACUAAAGCUAGAGAUCUUACAUUUAGAUAUUUUAAACCUUAAACAUAUGGUAUAUAGUAGGUUCAUGUUAUAAUAAUGCAUAUACUUGAUGUUUGGAACUGUUUUGGUGAAAUGAUGCUAAUUCAUGCUUUUAUAAUGCUUAGAUAAAGGCUGUUUUGGGUAUGGAAAGAUUGAACUCAGUUUUCAAACAUGCUAGAGUAUGUGCUUAUGAGUUUUCAUGGUGAUUUAAGGUUUAUAGGAAUGCUUAAAGACCAUAUGUGUUCUAUUGUGGACUGUUGGAGAUUUGGUAGCCAAAACUGUGUCUAAAAGGGACUGUUAUGGCCAACUUGUGUGGCUGGUGUUGUUAGACAGUGAGGAGUACAUACAUUGCCUAUAGAUAACUUGUAAAAAUGGUUCCCUAAGUUAGUUAAGGUCUACAAGGUGUAUUGUGCAAUGUCAUGCUUAAAAAUCCAUAAAAGUAAGCUUUAAAGAGCAAUUAGCACCUAAAUUAAGAAAUACCAUUUCUGGACCAUGUAGGCAAGUUUCAAUAGUCAUAAUAGGACAUAAGAAAGCUACACAAACUAAAGGAACAAAUCCUAAGCCAUUUUGAGCAUGAGACUUCUUAAAAAAAUCACAUUUUAAAGCCAAAAAUGGACUGUUUUGGACAAUUCAUAGUAUCUGACCUUAAAGGACUGUUAUGAGCAGAUACAAAGUUGCUCAUACAUGCUAGUAAUGAUUCCCAAACAUGGCCAUAACUAAAGCUAACAAGAAAACCAAGUUAAGAUCCAUUUUUCAAGCCUAAAGUGAGCUUUGAUAGGUCAAAAUGGGCUAGAUGAUUAAAUAAGGUGUGGUGAUGCUAAAAGUAACCUUAAGUAACUUAAAUAUACAUUCCUAGACUAUCCUAGUGGCCAGAACUGGAAAAAUUUGGAAAAAGUACAAAAUCCGUUUUGUAAAAAAGUAAGAAAAUUGCUAAGUUUGAGCUCUGUUUUGGGGAGCUUAAUGGGCAUGAACAAGAAAACUAAACCUUGAUUAAAAUACCUUGUAGUAUGGUCUAGAAGUUGGUCCAAGUGGUUAAGCUCUUGGCUUAACCAAGGAGUCUAAACAAAUCACCAAACUAGCAUGAAAAAUCAUCCUAACUGCAGUUUUGAAAAUUUUUCGUAGUGUAAAAUUUGAGAUUUUCCAUUUAGCCUAGAACUCAAUUUGAACACCUUAGACAAGUGAGUUAGAGUUAUGCUAGGCUAUUCCAAGUGUUGGAAUGCUAAUGUAUACAAGAACUUGAGAAGUUAGUGUGUAAAAGCGUGAAAAAGCUAGGUUUAAAGGGUCUAAACCCAAUCUAUGCUUAGAAAACCUAAAGGAAUGCUAAAACUAGUUCUAAAUAGAUAUAAUUCAAGUGUUGGAAUGAACCAAAGUGGCUAGAAGUGAAAUUGGCAAGAAUUGACCAAAACUAGUAAACUCAAAAUGUGAAUAAUGGCCUAGCUAAGACAUUUCUUUCAAGAAGCAUAAGAGGCUUACUUGGGAACCUAAACAAAAAAAAAAAUACUUUGGUAUAUAGGCUAGAAGUAUGUUCAGAGUCCUUGUCCAAAAGCCUAAUACAAAAGUUCCUAAAAAUCAUCAAAGUGGUCUUGAGAUUCAUGAAAAAUGCAGUUGCCUUCAAGACUGUUGAAAACAGCCAAUUUAAGGCUUGUUUUUGAAUUGCUUAACUUUUUGGUUUCUAUGACUUGAACCAUGGAUAAAAUACAUUGCUAUGAGGUCUAAAAGAUUGCAUAAAUGAGAAACCUUUUUUUAUGCGUAAAAAGGUUAAACGGACAAAGUUUUCAAAGGAAACUAAGAUGGUUUUAGGAUGAGAACAAAAUAUUAGAGUUUAAAUAAACUAAUAAUCAUGGAUUAAAUAUAUGCAUGCAUGUUUUGUGACAUAGUUGGUUAUCUAAUGUGUGUAUAUAUGUAAACACAGUUGUGUAGGAUUUGUGGAGAGAAGCUAAGUUAAAUUUUUCGGUAAUCUCCAAUUAAGGCAAGUUUCUCAGUUUAUUUAUGUGGACUUAUAAUUGCUAUAGAUAACUGUUAGCAUGAUUUAUGUUUAUAAGUAUGUAAUACCUAUGAAUUGCAUUAUUUGCUAUGUGAAUGAUGAAUGUCAAAUUAUGACUAAUUAUUGAAUUGAGUCGGGGAACUCAAUAUAUAUGUGCAAUGAAUGACAUGUAUAGGACAUGUGUAGUAUGUUAUGGUAUACAUUACCAGCAGGACAUAAAUGUGAUAAUGCAUUGGUAAUAUGCUUGAACACCAAGAAUAUAAAUGCAUGAACUGAAUGUGAAACCUAUGUGCUAUGUGAUGCAUGAUAGACUGUUAGACUUGUUGGGCCGUCGUGCUCAAUCUUGCUUAAUUUGCAGGUUAAAGCUAUGAGGCGAUCUAUCGUGAGUAGGAGCGCAUGAAAAGAAGACUAGUGAUUUAAUUGAGAUUGUGUUGAACCAUUUGAUGGUAUUUUCAUGUGUAAAUCACAGACGUGUAAAUUUUUGAAUUANNNNNNNNNNNNNNNNNNNNNNNNNNNNNNNNNNNNNNNNNNNNNNNNNNNNNNNNNNNNNNNNNNNNNNNNNNNNNNNNNNNNNNNNNNNNNNNNNNNNAGAAGAAUUGUAAAGGUUGCGAUUCAGGGAAUGAAUGAAUGGAAAGAAAGAAGAAAAAAAAAUUCCGCCUUUUUAGCUAUUUUAACAUUGAAUAAUGUUUUAAAGCUAGAACAAGAUAGUAUUAACGCACAAGAUCGGGAAGGAAAAUAGUCCCGAUUUUGGGGGCGUUACAUCGAUGCCAUUUGAAUCGGCUAGACACAGAUUCAGAUAUUACUUUUAUAUUAAACUUUUGAAUUGUCCAACUAAAUUGAUUGAGCUAGUAUGGAUUUCAGACUAUAUAUGAACAUCCCUAAAUUGGGACAAGAUGUUCUAUUUGCUAAAGACAAAUGAUGAAUGCAAAUGUCGUUCAGAUUUAUAUUGCGUCCUAGGGACGGCAAAGAGGAACUAAAAGAAAUUGUUCUGUCAAGAUAGUGUUGAUCAACAAAGAAAAUGGAAAUUCUGUUUGCGCUAAAUAGCGAUGGAAAUGAACGUAAAUGUCGUUCAAAUUUAUAUUGCGUCCUGGGGACGUUAAAGAGGGACUGAAAAAGUGUUCCGCUAAAAUAUUAUUGAUCAACAUAGGGUGUAAACAGGUUGAUCACCUAUGCCCAUAAGAUAUGUCGGUUUACAAAUGAAUUUCUAUUAAAAUCUUUUCAGAAACAAAGUUUAUUUAUGACCUUUAUCAUGAUACAAAAAGCUCUUCCUAAGCGAAUCUGUUGAAUCCCUGAGUUAUUUAUACUGCUUCACAAUUAUUAAUCAAUUGUGGAGAAUUUCUAUUUUGGAGAUUGGGUAUAGAAAGAAUGAACUUCCUUAAGAGGAAGUAGGUCAUAGAAUACGACGAUGGUUUAUGAAUCCUUGAAGAAGGAAAAAGUAGAGUACUGAGGAAUAAAGAGAUUUUCGCAUAACAAAGUAGACACUGGUGAUGUGUCAGAAAGUUAAACACUGAUGUUGUGUCAUAGACAUGGGUGAUAUGUCAUAAGAAGCUAGACACUAGUAAUGUGUCAUAACAAAAAUAAUCACAGAUGGUGUUAGAUAAUAAGAACAGACAUAUAUAUGGGAUGUCGAAAUGAAGAUAUAGAUGAUGUCAAAAAUAGAUAAGACAUUGAUAGUGAUAAAAGGAAGUAGACUUCGGAGAGUAGGACUGAGAAAAAAACGGGUAUAACCGAAUUAUCGAACCAAACCGAAAUAAUUUAACCGAUUUUUUUUGAUAAUUUGGUUAUUUUUAACAUUUCGGUUAUAUCCAAAAUUAUUUAAGGUUUUCGGUUAGUUUAUACGGGUUUCACUUUCAGCUUAACCGAAUAACCGAACAAAGCCUUGCGCACAACACUUAAAAUAAUAAUAUAACUAAUGACUCAGCACUCAGCCCACUACUAGCCCUAGCCCAGACUCUGAAGUCGGAACUUUCAAUUCCCAAACCUAGAUCUCGAACUCUCAGGUCUCAAUCUCUCAUCCCAAACCCAGAUCUCGAACUCGGAAGUCGGAACCCUGCUUCUUCUCGAACUCGAAACUCGGAACCCUGCUUCUUUUCUUUUCUCUGGUGAGUCCUCCUCCUUUUCUUCUCGUCUUCUCUUCUUUUGCUGCAACUUCUUCGUCUCUUUUCUCUCGAUCUCUCAUCCAGUCUGACAUCUUCAAUUCUUUGAAAGUACUAAUUUAUAUAGGUUGGUUUGUUUUCUUCGAAGUACUAAUUUUAUAUGUUACAUAUUUAGCUUUUGAAAGUGCUGCCACGGACUUCCAGAUUUUGUUCCAAUUGGCAAUUGCAUAUCCAUGAUAUGGUUGACUAGUUAUAUAACUUGAUUGACCUAUUUACAGUUCAUGUUAAUAUGCCUACUUUACUACUUUUUUGUGGCGUAAUUUGGUCGAUGGAGUUAUUUAUCUCAUAGAAUAAAUUACAUAGUACUGGGGUCUUGUUUCUGGGACUGCUACUAGUUUUGUUCUAACCCCUUUCCCGUUGUGAGUUUGUAUUUCCUCCUUAUUUGAGGCUAGCUGUUCUUGCAAUAUUUUCACCCAUUAGCUCUAGUUUACUAGAUAUUGUAAUUGAGAUAUUAUUGAUGUUGGUUAUGAAAUUCAUUCGUACUUAUAAUGAUAUCCCUCAAUAGUAAGGACUUUAAAAAAUAAAAUAAAAUACCCUUUGAGUGGUUUUUCGAUAUUCCUGCANNNNNNNNNNNNNNNNNNNNNNNNNNNNNNNNNNNNNNNNNNNNNNNNNNNNNNNNNNNNNNNNNNNNNNNNNNNNNNNNNNNNNNNNNNNNNNNNNNNNNNNNNNNNNNNNNNNNNNNNNNNNNNNNNNNNNNNNNNNNNNNNNNNNNNNNNNNNNNNNNNNNNNNNNNNNNNNNNNNNNNNNNNNNNNNNNNNNNNNNNNNNNNNNNNNNNNNNNNNNNNNNNNNNNNNNNNNNNNNNNNNNNNNNNNNNNNNNNNNNNNNNNNNNNNNNNNNNNAUAUAUAUAUAUAUAUAUAUAUAUAUAUAUAUAUAUUGUGGAUGAUUGUUACUUGCAGUCUUUACUAUAAAUUAAUUAAAUGAUGUAUAAUCCACAGAAAAAACUGCCUCACAUUAAAAAGUAUGAAAUAUAUACAAACCAUAUAUAAAAAGUAUGAAAUUAUUUAACUUGUGAAUGGUAAUUCUGCUUCUGUGUUAAAUAACUAUUUUGCACAUUUAACCAUUUGAUGGUUCUGUCUUUCUUCUCAAUGAAGACAGAACCAUUGCUGGUUUGCAGCUGGGCAUUAUUUUACAUUCAAACCAUGCCUUUUGGUAUCUUGCCCUAUCUAGGCUCGCAGGAGGGAGUCAUUUAGGUGUUGAAAAAGGUUGAAAAUUAUCAUUUUUUAGUUAAUAAUUCAUUGCAAGAAUGGAUUUGUGCCUUAACUUGAGGAAUGAAGCGGAAUUGAAUUUUCUUGCAGUCUCCAGGUUCCUUGUCAAUCUCUUUCUCCCCAUUUUGAAAAGAUUUAUUCUCAAAAAGGUUGUAAUUUGCUUGGAGUUCCGAAUUGGAUCUCCGGGGUGUGUACUCAAUUGUUUGUGAGUUGUAAAGUAAAAUCUUGUGAAGCCUACUACAACCUUGUUUUGUUGCUUUGAUUACUAAGCAUGGGCAAUUAUACUCAUGCGGUAGCGGUAGCGGUAGCGGUAGUAGUGGUAGCAAGUAUAUAUAUAUAUUCAUGAUUAGGUUUGGUUCGCCUCAACACAUUGCGACUUCCUUUUCUUUUCUUUUUUCUGGUUGUUCAUUUGAAAGCAAAGCAACACGAGGAGAGUGCAACAGUGCUCAAAUUAAUUAUAAUAUGCCAUCGGAAGAUGAAUGCAACAUUACUAAUUUAUUAAUGUGUCAUCUGUACCAACUACAGUACUUUUAUUUAUUAUAAUUCUCCCUUCUACCUACAAAAAGGUUUCAAGUAAGUAAGUGAGAGAUCCCCAUUCUGAUGCUCGUGGAUCAAACGGUGGUGGUUCAGCAGCAGCAGCUAAGUAGAAGCCUGUUAAACUCCCUAUCUACAGCUCCCACCUCCUUUCUCUCAUCUCCUCCUCUCCAACAUCAAGGUUAUUUUUUCUUACUGUUUUAUCAAUCAAUCAAUCAAUCAGCGCAGCCACCAAUGGAAGAAGUGUAGUCCCAAGGCAAGUGGAAAUUGUUUGAGCACAGGCAGAGGCAAGGCAGCGAGGGAUUGGCUCAAGCAUUAAUGUUGCUGCUGCAGCUGCUACUACCAUAAACGGGAUGAUUGUGAACAAGGUUGCUGUCAUCCUCUCUUGCAUUGGGUAAUAGGUGGGAGAAUUGUUCCUAGUGCUGAUGAUGAAUACAAAGGCGAAUGAAUAUGGCUCGACUGGAAUUGGGUUGUAUCCCAAUACAGCUAGAUUUAGAUUUCUUAAUUGUGCAAAAACCAAGCGAUGUACUCAUCAUUGUUUUACUUUUCCUUUAAAUACGUUUUUCUGCAUUUGAAUGUUCAUCAACCUACCAAACACAUUUUAUUCAUUGCAACUGAUGUAGUUUUUUUUUCUUAUUAUUCAUUGCAGUUUGGAACUGUUGAGACUGAGACUAUGAGAAUUUAGGAUUUAGACUUGUUGGCUGUUACUGUUUGGACUUGGCUCAGUUGGCACUUCUCCCGACUCCUGUAGAAUGUAGUCACUGCUGUUGUUGUUUAUUGCAUGUUGGCUCAGUUGUGUUGUUGCUGUUGAUCUAAGUAUCAUUCAUGUUUUUAUAAUAUGUCUUGACACAGACACUUGAUUGCUGCUGCCUGCUGUUAAUCUUUAGACUUGUUGAUUGCUGUUGUUAAUCUUUAGACUUAAUAUCACUGUGUAUUGUUAAGUUAGGCAGCGUUGUUGUGAACUAUUAAAUUCAGUUAUUAACCGAAUAAUUAAUUCGGUUAUUCGGUUAUCAUAUAUUUCGGUUAGUUGUUCGGAUAUUCAAAACAGUGUAAUUUCGGUUUUCGGUUAUAACCGAAAUGUUUAUUCGGUUCAGAUAAUAACUGAAUGCUCACUCCUACCAGAGAGGGUCAAAAGGUGAAAGGAUAAGUCAGAAAAUUUUAUGACCUUUCAC
RNAcentral lists this long non-coding RNA (9247 nucleotides) under Panax ginseng (ginseng). RNAcentral's name for it is "long non-coding RNA (PGIN_LNC010670)". Lineage: Eukaryota; Viridiplantae; Streptophyta; Magnoliopsida; Apiales; Araliaceae. The record is from RNAcentral.